GACGAACGCUGGCGGCGUGCUUAACACAUGCAAGUCGAACGGAAAGGCCUCUUUCGGGGGGUACUCGAGUGGCGAACGGGUGAGUAACACGUGAGUAACCUGCCCUUGACUUUGGGAUAACUUCAGGAAACUGGGGCUAAUACCGGAUAUGAGCUCCUGCUGCAUGGUGGGGGUUGGAAAGUUUCGGCGGUUGGGGAUGGACUCGCGGCUUAUCAGCUUGUUGGUGGGGUAGUGGCUUACCAAGGCUUUGACGGGUAGCCGGCCUGAGAGGGUGACCGGCCACAUUGGGACUGAGAUACGGCCCAGACUCCUACGGGAGGCAGCAGUGGGGAAUAUUGCACAAUGGGUGGAAGCCUGAUGCAGCAACGCCGUGUGCGGGAUGACGGCCUUCGGGUUGUAAACCGCUUUCGCUCAUGACGAAGCUUUGUGUGACGGUAGUGGGUAAAGAAGCACCGGCUAACUACGUG
RNAcentral lists this ribosomal RNA (467 nucleotides) under uncultured bacterium. RNAcentral describes it as "partial 16S ribosomal RNA". It matches the Rfam family "Bacterial small subunit ribosomal RNA", at positions 28 to 507 of the family's 1533-position model. The record is from RNAcentral.